GUCGUCCUUGAUUAGUCUGUGCAGCGCAAGGUGUCGUCCUUGAUUAGUCUGUGCAGCGCAAGGUGUCGUCCUUGAUUAGUCUGUGCAGACUGCACAAGGUGUCGUCCUUGAUUAGUCUGUGCAGACUGCACAAGGUGUCGUCCUUGAUUAGUCUGUGCAGACUGCACAAGGUGUCGUCCUUGAUUAGUCUGUGCAGACUGCACAAGGUGUCGUCCUUGAUUAUUCUGUGCAGCGCAAGGAGUCGUCCUUGAUUAGUCUGUGCAGCGCAAGGAGUCGUCCUUGAUUAGUCUGUGCAGACUGCAAAAGGUGUCGUCCUUGAUUAGUCUGUGCAGCGCAAGGUGUCGUCCUUGAUUAGUCUGUGCAGACUGCACAAGGUGUCGUCCUUGAUUAGUCUGUGCAGACUGCACAAGGUGUCGUCCUUGAUUAGUCUGUGCAGACUGCACAAGGUGUCGUCCUUGAUUAGUCUGUGCAGACUGCACAAGGUGUCGUCCUUGAUUAUUCUGUGCAGCGCAAGGAGUCGUCCUUGAUUAGUCUGUGCAGACUGCACAAGGUGUCGUCCUUGAUUAGUCUGUGCAGCGCAAGGUGUCGUCCUUGAUUAGUCUGUGCAGCGCAAGGUGUCGUCCUUGAUUAGUCUGUGCAGACUGCACAAGGUGUCGUCCUUGAUUAGUCUGUGCAGACUGCACAAGGUGUCGUCCUUGAUUAGUCUGUGCAGACUGCAAAGGCUAAUCUGGGGCUACACUUCAGGCACAUGCAUUUAGUCCAG
This is a long non-coding RNA of Dreissena polymorpha, 763 nucleotides long. RefSeq lists it as uncharacterized. NCBI's taxonomy places the organism in Eukaryota, Metazoa, Mollusca, Bivalvia, Myida, Dreissenidae. The transcript has 3 exons. The record is from RefSeq and is a predicted model, not a curated record.